RNAcentral lists this ribosomal RNA (243 nucleotides) under uncultured bacterium. RNAcentral describes it as "partial 16S ribosomal RNA". It matches the Rfam family "Bacterial small subunit ribosomal RNA", at positions 114 to 353 of the family's 1533-position model. The record is from RNAcentral.
AACGUGGGUAACCUGCCUUAUAGUGGGGGAUAGCCUUUCGAAAGGAAGAUUAAUACCGCAUAAGAUUGUAGUAUCGCAUGAUAUAGCAAUUAAAGGAGCAAUUCGCUAUAAGAUGGACCCGCGUCGCAUUAGCUAGUUGGUGAGGCAAUGGCUCACCAAGGCGACGAUGCGUAGCCGACCUGAGAGGGUGAACGGCCACAUUGGGACUGAGACACGGCCCAGACUCCUACGGGAGGCAGCAUG